RNAcentral lists this ribosomal RNA (588 nucleotides) under uncultured Acidobacterium sp. RNAcentral describes it as "bacterial SSU rRNA". It matches the Rfam family "Bacterial small subunit ribosomal RNA", at positions 338 to 916 of the family's 1533-position model. Lineage: Bacteria; Pseudomonadati; Acidobacteriota; Terriglobia; Terriglobales; Acidobacteriaceae. The record is from RNAcentral.
CCUACGGGAGGCAGCAGUGGGGAAUUUUGGGCAAUGGGCGCAAGCCUGACCCAGCGACGCCGCGUGGAGGAUGAAGGCCUUCGGGUUGUAAACUCCUGUCAGGUGGGAAGAAAUGCCUGUCGGUUAAUACCCGACAGGAGUUGACGGUACCACCAAAGGAAGCCCCGGCUAACUCCGUGCCAGCAGCCGCGGUAAUACGGAGGGGGCAAGCGUUAUUCGGAUUUACUGGGCGUAAAGCGCACGUAGGCGGCAUGGCAAGUCGCAGGUGAAAGCCCUCGGCUCAACCGAGGAACUGCCUGCGAAACUGCCUUGCUUGAGUCCGGGAGGGGGGAGCGGAAUUCCCAGUGUAGCGGUGAAAUGCGUAGAUACUGGGAGGAACACCGGUGGCGAAGGCGGCUCCCUGGACCGGUACUGACGCUGAGGUGCGAAAGCGUGGGUAGCAAACAGGAUUAGAUACCCUGGUAGUCCACGCCGUAAACGAUGGGCACUAGGUGCAGCGGGUGUCGACCCCUGCUGUGCCGAAGUUAACGCAUUAAGUGCCCCGCCUGGGGAGUACGGUCGCAAGGCUGAAACUCAAAUGAAUGACGG